GGAAGGAUCAUUAACGAAUUGUAAUGGGGGUUGAUGCUGGCGAAUACCCUUGCAAGUGCUCGCUCCUAACAAUUUUAUCCAAACACCUGUGCACCACUUGAGGAAAGGGAUUUCAAGUAGAUUUAUCUUGAAUUUCUUUCUUCUUCUACACAUACACUGAUUACAAUGUUGAACGUGCUCGUGCCUAUUAAAGGCCUUAAUAAAUUAUAACUUUUAACAACGGAUCUCUUGGCUCUUGCAUCGAUGAAGAACGCAGCGAAAUGCGAUAAGUAAUGUGAAUUGCAGAAUUCAGUGAAUCAUCGAAUCUUUGAACGCACCUUGCGCUCCCUGGUAUUCCGGGGAGCACACCUGUUCGAGUGUCUUGAAAUUGUCAAGCUGAGAUACUUUUGUCAAAAAGUAAUCUUAGCUUGGUUAUUGGGCUCUGCCAUGUCCUACUAUUGGAAUGGCUGGCCUUAAAAGCAUUAGCUGACCCUCAUGUAACAUCGAUUCUACUCGGCGUGAUAAUAAUAAUCUUAUCGCUUGAGGACAUCUUUUGUUUGGGCUGCUUUCUAAUCUGGCAUUGCGGAUUUUCACGAAUCUGUUGUUCCGCCUUCAAAUUUGACCUCGAAUCAGGUGGGACUACCCGCUGAACUUAAGCAUAUCAAUAAGCGGAGGAAAAGAAACUAACAAGGAUUCCCCUAGUAACGGCGAGUGAAGAGGGAAAAGCUCAAAUUUAAAAUCUGGCAGUCUUCGAUUGUCCGAGUUGUAAUCUAGAGAAGUGUUUUCCGCGUUGGACUGUGUACAAGUUUCCUGGAUACGGAACAUCAUAGAGGGUGAGAAUCCCGUCCUUGACACAGACUCCCAGUGCUCUGUGAUGCGCUCUCGACGAGUCGAGUUGUUUGGGAUUGCAGCUCAAAAUGGGAGGUAAAUUCCUUCUAAAGCUAAAUAUUGGCAAGAGACCGAUAGCGAACAAGUACCGUGAGG
Molecule: ribosomal RNA, 963 nt
Filed under: uncultured fungus
Lineage: Eukaryota; Fungi
Description: eukaryotic LSU rRNA
Rfam family: Eukaryotic large subunit ribosomal RNA (bases 599-963)
Source: RNAcentral